ACAUCCAGAGAACUUAGCAGAGAUGCUUUGGUGCCUUCGGGAACUCUGAGACAGGUGCUGCAUGGCUGUCGUCAGCUCGUGUUGUGAAAUGUUGGGUUAAGUCCCGNAACGAGCGCAACCCUUUAUCCUUUGUUGCCAGCGGUUCGGCCGGGAACUCAAAGGAGACUGCCGGUGAUAAACCGGAGGAAGGUGGGGAUGACGUCAAGUCAUCAUGGCCCUUACGGCCAGGGCUACACACGUGCUACAAUGGCGCAUACAAAGAGAAGCGACCUCGCGAGAGCAAGCGGACCUCAUAAAGUGCGUCGUAGUCCGGAUUGGAGUCUGCAACUCGACUCCAUGAGGUCGGAAUCGCUAGUAAUCGUAGAUCAGAAUGCUACGGUGAAUACGUUCCCGGGCCUUGUACACACCGCCCGUCACACCAUGGGAGUGGGUUGCAAAAGAAGUAGGUAGCUUAACCUUCGGGAGGGCGCUUACCACUUUGUGAUUCAUGACUGGGGUGAAGUCGUAACAAGGUAGGCGUAGUGCU
RNAcentral lists this ribosomal RNA (526 nucleotides) under uncultured bacterium. RNAcentral describes it as "bacterial SSU rRNA". It matches the Rfam family "Bacterial small subunit ribosomal RNA", at positions 984 to 1509 of the family's 1533-position model. The record is from RNAcentral.